GCAAGCCUCUUCAAUUUCGGCCCAAGGGCAACUUUGCCUUGGCCGUGUGCCGGUUUCCUGUGCUGUGUACCUACUAAAACGGAAUUCGAAAGUGAAAAGUUUUGUCAUUCGCCUUGUGCYGUCCCAUCGGUCGUCCCUUUGGGGUGCGGCGUCGGGUGAACCUCGAAACGGUCUUCGUGUUCUUCGUCUCCCACGAAAUGUGUKGUUGGCGCGGCCCAUGAAAGAUUGCUUGAGCUCUCGGAUGCGGAAUACGCGGAGGGCAGUAGGCCUACGGCCUCACUUUGCCCGAACUAAGCGUUGAUUCGCUCAUURCCGAACGACUGCCGGCCGUGCYCUGACGCGCCGAAGCCCUUGGGUUUUGGCAUCDUCACGCUC
Molecule: unclassified non-coding RNA, 375 nt
Filed under: Exostema acuminatum
Lineage: Eukaryota; Viridiplantae; Streptophyta; Magnoliopsida; Gentianales; Rubiaceae
Description: partial external transcribed spacer
Source: RNAcentral